RNAcentral lists this small RNA (24 nucleotides) under Arabidopsis thaliana (thale cress). Lineage: Eukaryota; Viridiplantae; Streptophyta; Magnoliopsida; Brassicales; Brassicaceae. The record is from RNAcentral.
AGGCCUAGACCGGGGAGUCGGAAC